RNAcentral lists this ribosomal RNA (477 nucleotides) under uncultured bacterium. RNAcentral describes it as "partial 16S ribosomal RNA". It matches the Rfam family "Bacterial small subunit ribosomal RNA", at positions 29 to 507 of the family's 1533-position model. The record is from RNAcentral.
AUUGAACGCUGGCGGCAUGCCUUACACAUGCAAGUCGAACGGUAACAGGUUAAGCUGACGAGUGGCGAACGGGGGAGUAAUGUAUCGGAACGUGCCCAGUCGUGGGGGAUAACUGCUCGAAAGAGCAGCUAAUACCGCAUACGACCUGAGGGUGAAAGCGGGGGAUCGCAAGGCCUCGCGCGAUUGGAGCGGCCGAUACCAGAUUAGGUAGUUGGUGGGGUAAAGGCUCACCAAGCCGACGAUAUGUAGCUGGUCUGAGAGGACGACCAGCCACACUGGGACUGAGACACGGCCCAGACUCCUACGGGAGGCAGCAGUGGGGAAUUUUGGACAAUGGGCGGAAGCCUGAUCCAGCCAUGCCGCGUGCGGGAAGAAGGCCUUCGGGUUGUAAACCGCUUUUGUCAGGGAAGAAAAGGUUCUGGCUAAUACCUGGGACUCAUGACGGUACCUGAAGAAUAAGCACCGGCUAACUACGUG